UACGUAGGAGGCAAGCGUUGUCCGGAAUUACUGGGCGUAAAGCGCGUGUAGGCGGCAUGGCAAGUCGGGUGUGAAAGCCCUCAGCUUAACUGAGGAAGUGCGCCCGAAACUGCCGUGCUUGAGUGCCGGAGAGGGUGGCGGAAUUCCCCAAGUAGAGGUGAAAUUCGUAGAUAUCGGGAGGAACACCGGUGGCGAAGGCGGCGAUCUGGGUCGAUACUGACGCUGAGGUGCGAAAGCGUGGGGAGCAAACAGG
This 253-nucleotide ribosomal RNA is filed under the name uncultured bacterium. Its description in RNAcentral is "partial 16S ribosomal RNA". It matches the Rfam family "Bacterial small subunit ribosomal RNA", at positions 524 to 776 of the family's 1533-position model. The record is from RNAcentral.